RNAcentral lists this long non-coding RNA (22046 nucleotides) under Equus asinus (donkey). Its description in RNAcentral is "lncRNA (ENSEASG00005037955.1)". Lineage: Eukaryota; Metazoa; Chordata; Mammalia; Perissodactyla; Equidae. The record is from RNAcentral.
CCGGAACGUGCGCGGAGGGCGGGGGCAGGAAACGGGAAGCGAGGGGCGGGGCUGCCGUUGCCAUGGCAGUGACGUCAGGCGUCGGGGAGCAAACCCGGCCCCUUCCCCACGCGCGCGCGCGCACCGCCGGAGACAGGCACACGCGCGCGCACCGCCGCUCUCCCUCAGACACACUGGAGGGAAAGGUCAAACUAAAGGCGAGGGAGCCGGGAAGCCGGAGGGAGCCGCUGCCGCCGCUGCCGCCGCCGCCGCCGCGCGCCAUGACGGACGCGGCCGAGGCUGCUUUCUCCCAGCCGCCGCCGCCGCUCUCGCCGCGCCCCCCGCGCCCCCUCCCCCGGCGCUCGCGCGUCCGCGCGCCCCCUCCCCCCGGAGCCCCGGGCGCGCGUCCCGGCGCGGGGCGCGCGCCUGCCUGACCGCGGCGCAGAGGGUGGGGGCCGCGGCGGGCGGGCGGGCGGCCUCCUCGCGCGACCCCCAACCCCCCGCCCGGCCCCUCGGCGACAGCCCGCCAGGUGAGUGCGGGGGGCGCGGGGAGAGGGUGUCAGGAGUGGACAGGGCGCCGGGCGAGCUCAGACCCCGGCCGACCCCUUCCGGGGGCGCUGACAGGCGCUCGGCCCCGGCCUCUGGGGGGCGUCGCGGGGUCAGCCCGUCGGGGGGCCUCUUGGGGCGCCCCUGCCCUUCGGUGUCGGGGCACGGAGUGGUGGGGGGCUCGGGACAGGGGGAGCGCCUUCGCCGGACAGGAGUUGGCAGGGCGACCCGGGCGUGGGGACAGGCGGCAGGAGGCAGGUGGGCCCCUCUCUGGGGCUCGGCGAAGGGCGGGGAGGGGGCGAGCGCCGGGCCAGGUGCGCGGGGCCCGCGGGAAGCUCUCGGGACGCGUUUGUUGGGCAGUUGGGAGAAACUCUGCCCUUGGGACCAGACGUUCUUGCUUUUGCCCGGGCCAGCGAAAGUGGCAGAUUUUACGGCAAAAGUCGGGGGAAGCCAGGCAGAACCGGACGGAAGGGAGAGGGACCGGGAGGACCCUUCUGGAUGGGGACCAGAGAUGAACAGAUCCCCCUGUGGGUAGCACCCGGGCACGAUGUGCGGACGUUGCCAUGCCAGUGCUUGAUGUUUGUUGCUUAUGGUCAUUUUAGGACGAAAUGGUUAAAAAGUUACACUUGGGAGAGAGGGAACUGCUUGAAUGGUCAUGAGUUCUUCCCUGUGUCCGGAGGAAAUGGGUUAAUCUUUCACUCCCCCCCCCCCGCCUCCCCCCACCUGAAUCUAUGCCCAGUGGACUUGAAAAAUAAUAAAUAUAAAACUAAAGCCCCGAAACAGGGUAAUGUUUGUGUGAUGAGUUUCAGGUGUCAGCUCAGUGUUCCGUGGGAGACAAAUAGGAGGAGGACACCGAAGUAGUUGAUAUGCUCAAGAAGUCGUCUUUUUGUAAUAAGCUUUGGAGCCCAUCAGAGUGGGGUUUAGUUAGCACUGCCAGGGUUAAGUAAUCACAUUGACCCAGGGCCUCCCACCAAUCAGGAGCUUCCCUGGAAGUAACUUGCAAGACUGCUGCCAGCCCAGGGCUCUGCCGAUUGUGGAUACCCAGUGCGUCUGCGGGGUUUUUUCCUCUUUAAUUUUCCACUGUUAUAAUGUGUGUAUGUGGGCUACCUAUUUACCAGACGUGAGAAUGAGUUACCCGUAUUAAACUGCUCUCCGCUGAGUCCCUGUAUAAGUCAUCAGGAGUUAGCCCUGACAUACGUCUUUUUUCAUGUUUGAAAAGUUGUUUGGAAAUUUCAAAUAGAAUAGUUUCAGAUUGAUAAAGAUUUUUUGAGUAUAAGUCUCGCUUAAGCAGAUUAUACCAAGUGGAUAAUGUGUUUUAAAAUUUAAAUCUCAUCCACGAAAACUUCUGGUUUGUGAAAGGUGCCGCAUUGUGACAGCAGGGGAAAUGUCUGAAGGGGUCUUUGGUGAAGGAUGAGAGAACAGGCAGGACGCGCGGUGAAUUUUACGUGAACUGGCAGGCUCAGCAUAUACAGACUUGCUCCUUACCUAAGCAUUUCUGAUAUGUGGGUGCUCAGUCUGUUGAUUAAGGACCUUUGGUUAUUUGUCGUUUUCAGAAAGUUCUGGCAACAGAGAACCCUCACUUUGAAAUUGAGUCGUUGUGGCAUGUAGCCAGGGUACCAAAGGUUUUCAGUACAAGAUGUAAGGGAGGAGUAUUCAGUUUGGGAUCUUGUUAAUUCUUUCUGUGUUGCAAUUUUUGUACCUGGUUCUGUGCUGUGACGCCCCUGUACAUCUUGCUCCUGUUGGCUGUUGCUGACAGAUGUUAUAUACAAUCCUGUAAUGGGGUAGUUGAAUGUUACAACCUAAAGCAUCAUGUCCUGUAAUAUAUAAAUAAAUUUUUAUUUUUAUGUUCUUCCUUCUCUCUUUUUAAAGGGAACUGUAGAAUUGGGCAAAUCAGCACUUACUCAGCAUGUCCCCCUUCUGUAGGUCUCAUUGACCUUGGUGGCAUCGUGGAGGUCAUGUGUUCAUGGAGAUAAACAGUUUUUGAACAGUUUCCUCCAGGUGAUAAAGACACGGGGGAAAGUGAUUUGAGAUAUGCAUAUCUUGAUUUUUUUUUAAAAUCAUUUUUAUUGGACAUUUAUUGUGAUCAUUGCCAAAAAUAAUUCGUUGACUUCUUUUGGGGAAUACAUACAUUUCUAUUUUACAUUAAAAAAAUUAAUCACUUAAUUUCUUCUUUCAACUUUUCUAGUAUUGUUUGUAUAUUCUGCCACAGAGGAACCCCUAGUUUUUUGGGUGACAUUUUUAAAACUUGGGAAAUAGAAGAGCCGAAAUGCUGGGAUGAAUUUGGCCUAUGAAAGCAGCUGUGCUCUACUUUAUGAAAUUUGAUAUUUACAAGAAUAAGAUUGCAAAACAGAUUAAGUAGUGGUUAGUUAUGUUAUAUGAGAAGUCCAUAUUUUACAAAAAGGAUCCACUAAAAGGUGCCUUCACAUAAUCCCUUUUAUACAGUACUUACCAAAUAUGUUUUGAUUUAUGAAAAAUCAGUCGACAUACAACAAUUUAGGAACAGAUUCUUGGCAUAAUGUAAGAUUUACCAGUGUGUUUCUUGAAUUAUCUCUUUCCCAAAAGUGUUUGGGGCAAAGUUAAUAUUUAUGGGCUUCUUAAAUUCAGAGUUGUGCCACUUAUAUACUACCUAUUAAUGUUUUAGCUGAAUGGAAAAAUUGUCAUCUGCUUUGUGCUGUACCAUUUUAAGGAGUAGUACAUUGAAACCUAAUUAAAAUGCCAAAUGUUCUGUUGGGGUUUGUCUGGAGCCCGGUCCAGAGUAGUUUAGUUACUGAAGUAUCAAAAGCACCUUGUUGUGAGAUACUCUCACCAGGACGGUGGUCCUGCGACAUAUGCCAAUGAGUGGUUGUACCCAGACUUCAGCAAAAGCAAAAUAAAUAGAUUUGGUCUAAAGUCCACAUGCAGUGAAAACCAUUGCCUUGAAUUUUUCUCUAGGUGCAAAUUACUCUUCAGAAUUGAAGGCUUGAUUUUCCUAAACUGUGAUUCUAUUUGGGUCACUUGUGAAAAAUUCUUUUUUGAUAAAAGAACAACUACGUACUCUUUAAACUUUCAAGGGAGCUUUUCUUUGGUUAGCGGAAUUGGGUUUAUUUGGAAUCACAGGCAAUUGUGAAUAAAGUACUUGGAGUUUUCAUUCUGAAAUCAUUUUGUUUUGGUAAUGUUAAAAAAAAAGGAAUGUGGGUUAAUAUGAGUAGAACUUGCUUGUGGCUUGGCUCAAAUUUUAUGAUGGGAGAGGCAGAAAGGGAGGAACUGGACACAAACUUUAUUAAGGACAAUUAAUUAAAUUUACUUUGCUUUGUACUGUUCAUGCCUGGCUUUGUAAGAGUGACACCUCUCCUCCCCAAUUUGGAAAAUUCUUAUUCUUAGAGAUUUAAAGGGUAAGAGCUAAGCAUAAGGGUAUAUAAGUGUUGAAAGUAUCUUUUGAGUGCUUUAUUAGUUUUUUGUUUUGUUUUUGUGCGUUAGACAGAAAGCAAGAAAUUAUUUUCAUACUGAGUAUGGGUCAAGAGCCCAACUUUCGGAUAAUAGGCACAGUUUUAUUCCUCUUAGCAUAAUUGAAUAAUAUAAAAAUUGAGGGAACAGCUUGAAUGAUGCCACUGAUUUUUUUAUUACAGGCUUUUAGUUCCUCUGUUGAACAAAUGAGUAAAAAUGAAGAUUGAAGAUGUGAUAUUAAAAGAAAUGUUGUCUUUUUUGUUUUCUUAAACCCACAGGACUGUCUCAAAGGAUUGCUAAUUUUAGAGCAUAGUGAAGUAAAAGAAGUUCAUUAUUGGAUUUAUCAUUAAUGAGGGCAUAUAAUUAAAAAUUUUAAAAAACACAUGCAAAAACAAAGUAGACUGCUGCAUUUUAAAAAUAUUUGUGCCAAAAUCUGUGAGACGAGAGGUAAUGAUUAGAAAUUUUAAUUGGAACUGAAGGCUGAUUUAUGUUCGCAGUUUGAUAAUUUAACCCUCUGUCACUUUUAAAAUGUCAUUUAAUUUUUCUGUCCCAGUUUUCUCUUCUAUAAAAUGCAGUCAGUGCAACAUACUUUAUGUACAAUGGUUUUUAAAUAAUAUUUGCGAGACUUCUUAAGCAUAAAAUAUUACCUAAUAUUAAUAUAUAUGUGUAAGUCUACUACAUGGGGUUUUAAAAAGUUUAGACCUUGUAAUCUGCAGACAUUUGGGCAAAAGUUUUAAAAAUGAGAAAAGCUGAUGCUGUAAGUUGCAUUUUCCUCAUUCUCCUUAAAGGAUUUCCUUUUGCUAUUACAUGUUUAUAUUUUCCAGACUCCAGUCAGGCUAGUUUUUAGUGUUGAAUCAUCUUAUCUGUAGCAUUAAUAGAAAGUUUACUUGUAAAAACUGCCCUCUUAAUUUUCUCCCAGCUGUUCCAUCUAGGAGAUUGUUUGAAUUUCAGUUACUGAAUGUGGUUCAAUCAGAAGUUAUUCUAAAUAGAAAGUUUUUUGCAAUUUUCACGAACUAGGGGAAAAUUUAAAUUUAUUUUAAGAUCAUUUAUGAACAUUUUUAUAUUACUGUGAGAACAAUUAAACACAGAAUGUGUAAUUUAAUAUUUCUAACUUAUUAGCAUUUGUUCUAAGUUUAUUUGGUGUAUUGUUAAAAUUCAAUGUGGGUAUAGUCUCUUUAAAAAGAUAUCUGUUUACAAAAUAUCUAUUUGUCUGUGAAAUAUUUUUUUAAAAACUUGCCCUCAAAUGGGCGAGAGAGAGAAACUUUACUCUGCAAACUUCUGAUUGAAUAUAUAGUUAAAUGGUUUAUAUUGGGUAUUGUUUUGAUUGUUAUUUUACAAAUGAAGAUUUUUUGUAUGUUUUUGUAGGGUUACUUUCAAGUAUAUUUUUAUUUGUAAAAAGAAGCUCUUCUUUAAAAAUGUCAUUUUGUACUUAUUGGUUAUUUGGUAGUUCUCAGACUUUUAUAUUUGAGAGAAAUGGAAAUGAGUAAUUUAUUAAGCUGUUUCCCUAAAAUGUGCUCAUUUAGUUGGAACAUGUGAUGUAAUUUGUUUUUACUAUAAUGUAGAGAGUUAUCUUUAUCCCAAAUUCAUAGUAGAAUAGUUGGCUAUUUUUGCAAAUUUAGGGAGUAUAGAUUAUACCCUGAAAUGAACCAUUGAAUGCUAAGUGUUGGACUGAGUUUACAGUAUCUCAUGGAAAUGGUGUUUUCCUUUUAAAGGCGUUUAUAUUGUUUCUGUUUAAGGACCAUUUCUUAAACAUGCCAGUAAGUGAAUAUAUUGUACCUGUUGGUCAAGUGCUGUAUUGAAGGAUUUAAUCUGUAUCCUAUGCUUCUCUCCCCUCUUCUUGCUUUUAAUAAUUGUCAAUAUUUGGCCUUUAGCCACAUACUAUCAGAUAAUUUUUAACGCUUGAUAGGAUGGCCCAGGUUGGUGGUUGGUUUCUUUUCUAGUGUCUUAUCUGAUGGAGAAAAGUAAGAGUAUUCUGUAACUCUUUAAUGUGUGUUAAACAUUGUUUUGAACAUUUAUUUUUAAUCUAUUAUUUCUAAUGGGGAUAACACUUUAAAAGUUCUUGAGACUGUUUAAGUGGUUACAUUCCCGUGCAAGUAUUAGUGCGAGGAGCAAGGACACUAGAGGUAGAGAGGAUUCUAGGGGUUAGAUUAGGUUGUAUAAAGUGAAUAAAAUUGUUGUGAUAUAAAACGUGUUAAAUUAAUCAUUGUAUAUACGUUUUCCCUAGGAUUGUAACCUUGCUUUUUUAUUAGCACUUCUCACUGUGAAGAGUCAAGAGUAGCAAAUUGCCAGGAGAGGUUAUGCAUAUCUUUAAUCAGUUUUACCUGUUAUUGUUGAGAACAUAUUAGAUGGCUAUGAGGAAGAUAAGCAGUUUCACACUCAUGAACGUUUUCAGUGGUCACAUUUAGGGCUCCAGAUUUUAUAAGGUGGGAGAACAGAUGUUCAAGUGAUAGGUGGGAAAGGGUUUUCAGAUACAAAGUCAUUGUUAAGAAAAUUCAAGUGUACCUAUCUGGAAAAAAUUGCAUUUUAGCAAGUACAAUCAUAUAUGCUAUAUUUUCCAACGCUGUAACUGUUUUGACUAUUCUGUGGCCAUAAAUACACUAGUAUUUUUCCGACCAUAAAUCCUAACUUUUAGGCUAAGAAAUGUGAUCACUUAAAAUUCGAGUUUAACUGAAGAGUGAAAAAGCUGAUAAUUAAUCUUUAUCUUCCUUUUUCUACAUUAUAACUUUUUGUCAUUAAUUUUCAAGGCCUAGUACUAUUUGCUUAAGUUCUAUAUAUGCCUAGUUCUAUAAUUGAAGAGAAACUAAGAGAAUGAAUCCUUGUACUUGAGAAAUUAGAAUCACAUUGGGAGAGGCAUGAAGUAAAUAGAAGAUAAUUGCAUAGAUAUAUUAAUUUUUCUUUCUAAAGCAGUGGUUUUGAAACUGUAUUCUGUAAAGGCUCCUGGAGGAAGUCAGGAAGGUUCAUUCCAAUUUCAACCAGUGCAGUUUUACUUUGAUUAAUUUUAAGUGUGAAGUUUAUGUAAGAUUUCACUUGAGAGCAGGGUUCUGUUGUUUAAAAUAUAAAGUAUGAUAACCACUAGUGGUAGCGUAAUUGGCCUUAUCACUGUCCUGCUUAAAUCCUUACAAUGGUUGAGUCUUUUUAUUGUGACUUACAAGACUUUUCUUUUUUAGCUCCAGCUUCGUUCUUCAUCUGAUAUCACUUUUUCCCUUGCUUUCCAUGUAAACCCCACAUUCUAGUCCUACUUAAAUUGCUUGAUAUUCCCUGAGAGGAAAACGUUCUUUUACAUCUCAAUUCCUUUGCACAUGAAACUGCCAUCAUUCUUGACAUGCUAAGCGGAAGUUUGUUCCCUUGGAGCCUUGGUCAUAGCUCCAUAAAAGCACUUAUUUCAUUGUUUUGUAACUGUGGCCUCCCUUGAGAGCAGAGACCAUCUAGUUUAUCUUUGUAUCUGUACUACUUGGUGUUCAUUAAGUAUUCAAAUGUCUGCUGAAUAAUUGCAUUUAGAAUUUGAGAAGUAGUAGAAUUACUUUAAUGCACACUCAUGUGAAUAAAACAUCCCAGAUCUAGUUUGUACGAGGUAUUUUUAGUGUCAUAGUGUCAGGCAUUAUGCUAAGUAUAUAAAAGGCAGCCAGUUACUCUUAUCAUGAAGUAUUAUAAAGCCAAAAGAUAUAUUAUAUGGAAAAAUUAGAUUAGGUACUAGUGACUUUAAGUAACGUACGGGAUUCCGUCAUCUAAUCCUAAAAGUUGGUUGUGAAAGCAUUUUAAUAAUAAUUCUGUACAGUCCUGACUGCCUGUGAAAAAAUUUCUUCAUAUGUGACUAAAGCUAAUGGACUAAAAAGGACCUUCAAAUGUCAAAGUAUAUAACAGAGCAAUACUCACCACCGAUAAAAAUUAAAGAAUGAGCCCUGGAGCUGUCCUGCCUGAAUUUAUAUCCCUUUCCUGCCUGUCAACAGCUGUGUGAUCUUGUGUAAGUUACUUAACCAUUCUGUGCCUCCUUUUUCUUAUUUGUAAGAUGAGGAUAUUGAUAAUAAUACUUUAUAUGACUGUGAUGAAGGGGAUACAUGAGUUAUUGGAUAUUGAGUGCUUAAAAGAAUGUCCAACACACAGAAAACACUCAAUACAUGUUAGCUAUAAUUAGUUUCUGGUGGCUUCUUAUUUAGACAGAUGUUUAUUGUGCACCAUUUCUGCCAUUUAAAAAUAAUUGUUUUAAUACAUGAAUAUCUAAUUUAAAAGAAACAUAACGUUUUUAGUUAGUUACUAUAUCUGUAAACUGGCAGCUGUUUUCUCUCCUUACUGACUCAUUUUCCCAUCUCCCAGUGGAGUAUAGACUGUUUCUGUCAGAUGGAUUGACAUGGGAGAUUUGAAACCAUGUUCUCCUGACUUCUGCAGCAGAGCACUGUGUUCCCAUGACCUGUACGGUUCUUGGUAGUGCCCACGAGAGAGGAGGAGAGAAAUAACAAGUGUAAGAAUCCAGUGACAAGUUCUUAAACAAGCCUUAACCCGUACCAAAAAUGUCCUACACUUUCAUACUCCUUAGCAGAGGAUAAGUGUUCAGCUUUUUUCCUUUUUACAUUUUCUUUUACUUUUCUGUCUUGGAGGAAUAGAUUUUUUUAAAACUUUUUUUUAAUUUAUUUUUAUUUUAUUUUAUUUUGAGGAACAUUAGCCCUGAGCUAAUAUCUGCCAAUCCUCCUCUUUUUGUGGAGGAACACUGGCCCUGAGCUAACAUCUGUGCCCACCUUCGUCUGCUUUAUAUGUGGGACGCCACCACAGCAUGGCUUUUUGCCACGUGGUGCCAUGUCCUCACCCGGGAUCCGAACUGGUGAACCCUGGGCUACCAAAGUGGAACGUGCGAACUUAACCGCUGCGCCACCGGGCAGGCCUAAGAACAGAUUUUUUAAAAUCCUAAUUUACAUUUAUUCCAGAAAGGCACAUACAACUUAAUGUCAAUGAACGUGUUCAUUUUUUUAUUACAUAAAUAGUAUGUACUAUGAAAAUCCUACAUACUAUAAAAUCCUGUUAAAUACACCCAUUUAGGAUGCAGAAAAGAAAAAAACCUAAGAAGACAUUUCUGUUCCAAGAUAUUUUGCAAAGAGGUUAUCCAUUUCUUAUUAUAAGAAUAAUACCCAGUGUGUCCUUAUAGCCUACUUUGACUUUCUCUCUCUAUGUAACAAUUCAAAUAUAAUGAAAAGUUACUGGGGUAACUUUUUAAAAAUAUUUCAUUAAAGGAAAGAAUUUAACAAACAAAUCUGAGUGUUUAAUAUGCUAACGGUGAGUGAUUUGAAGAUGAGGGGCUGGGAUAUAAAGAUAAGUCAGGCAUUUAUCUUUAUAUAGUACUUAGAACCUGUUGGAGAGGCCAGAGUAUGCAGAGAAUACUUGGGAAUUGAAAGCUGGAAAUGAGACUGGCAAACAGCUAGAUUUUGACUAGAGUAAGGAAACAAAAUAAGACAUUAGCAAGGGACCAUUUUAAAUGCCAGUGGCAUGCUGUGUAUUAGUCUGCCAUGGAAAAUUUGAAUGCUUAUAAAGUUGAUCAAUAUACUAGCAUUGUUUUGUAAUUAGAACACUAGUUUAAUAUCAGCAAAAUUUUGCUGACGUGCCAUUAUAAGAAUUUUUAAAGUAUUUUUUUGCACCUCCCUGAAAAUUAUGGGAGUUAGGAUAUACUAGGAAAAACAACGUCUAGAAUAAAUACAAUUUUGACUAAGCCUAUUUCCUCUGUACAAACCAAGAUACUCUGUGUUUAAUGUUGUCUAACCUUGAAAUUUCAUUUCCCUUCAACAGAGCAUGCCUUUCUGUAUCUGUUAGGUGAAAACAACUUCUUGUUUUACUUCUUAACCUCAGUUCUUGUUCCUUGUUGUUGUUAUAUUAGUAUUAAUAUUAUUAAUUAAUCAGAAAGGAGAAAUACUGUUUGAGCAUUUUCAUCGCUUCAGCAAUGUUUGGUUACAUAGAGGAGUGAAUGAGAUUUGUACGACUCAACACCCACUUCGGUCUCCUCCGUCGCAUCUACCGUGUUAGUCACAUUCCUUGCUUUAGAGGGUUUCUGAUUGUUAGAAAUAACUUCUCGUUGAGCUGGAUCUAGUUCCCCUCUCCCUUACUGAUCCUUAGCAGUCUAGGGGUAUGUACGCGAAGCAUUGUUCUUAUACACAGUAACUCUUACAGCAUUUGAAAAUGACUGUUAAAUCCUGCUUGAGUCUUCUUUUUGCCAUGCUAAGGGUAAAAAGCCCUAGUUCUCAAAUCAUAUGCACAUGACAUACUUUACAGACCUUUCUCCAUCCACAUUGCUAAACUCAUGACAAUGUCUGUUUGUCAGUAUACCUCUUAAAACUCGGUGGCCAGAACUGACUGACUACUUCAGAUGUGGUCUGACUAUUGCUGAAUACAAUGAAGCUUUUAUCUGGAUACUGUGCUUCUGUUAAUGCAGCCAGAAAUUUGCAUUACAUUUUUUGGCAGCGACAUUACCCUUUGAUCAUAUUGAGCUUAUGGUCAACUAAAACCUUGUCUCUUUUUCAUGUGAACUGCUUUAAGUCUAAUCUUUCUCAUUCCGUGCUUGCCAGCGGAUGCUUUGAAAGUAAAUGCAGAAUAUUUUAUAUUGCAUCACUAUAAAAGUUUAACUGAAUUUAUCACAUUUCAUUCCAGUUGACUAUCCGGAGAUAUGAGCUAACAUUUGUGUAAAACAGCACAAUUUUCAUGGUGUUUUCACAUAUAUUUUUAUUUAAUCUUUACAACAACCAUCCAAGAAUCAGGAGAGAGAAACGACUUUCCACUAAGUCAGGAAUUGGCAGACACAGUACUUCGUCACAGGAUUUUUGAUUCCAGAUCCCAUGCUCCUCUUAUCACUGUUCACUUAGUAAGCAUUUAGCAUGUCCUUUGCUAUGUGGCCGUCACCAUGUAGUGCUGGUGCGUCAGUGAGCAAGACAGAUUACAGUCUCUGCUCUGUGGUAUUUAUGGCCUGGCAUAUAAAUAAUGACUGCCAGUUACUGAGCACUUUCUAUUGGGAAGGCACUGUGGUAGAUUGUAUUAUUGUUCAAAAUAUUUGUUGCCUCUGUCUGCCAGGGGCCUCUUUGUAGGAAGAUUAUAUUUCCCAUGCUGUUGACAUCAGUUUUGGACACUUGGCUUUCUUGACCAGUAAAAUGAUAGAGGAAGUGACAUGUCCCAUGUUUGAGCAGAUGUUUUAAAUUCCAUCUUGUGGUUCUGCCAGUGGCUGUUUUCCUUCUGACAUGGAACCAGCAUGCCUUAGCUAGGGCUGGCCCCAGAGUGAUGGAGCAGAAUUGAAGCCGAUCCAUGAUAGACAUUUAAUGUAAGUGAAAAAUAAGCCCUUGCAUUGUUGGCACCAUGAUUUUGGAGUCGUUUGUUACCAUAGCAUAAUAUAGCUCAAACGGGGUGUGAAUACCGGCAUCAUUCAAGGUCCCUAUGAAGGUAGAUAAGACGUAGGUCUUGUCUUCAAGGAGCUGGCAGUCUUGGUGAAUGCAUUAAAUUUCCAGCAGGUAAGUGGUAGUUGGGGAAGAGGAGAGUACAUGUGUGACGAGGUCUUUGAAGGUGAGAAUCUUUCCUGACCUUCACCUCAUCCCUAGGCUGAGUUGGUCAGUAUGUUUUAAAUCCUGGGUCUGUGGUCCAGCUACUCACUGUCACAACUUUUUAUCAUCCAAAAUUUCAUAAGCAUGUUUUCUGUGCCCUCUUUCAAAUCACCUUUUGUAAAACAAAUGUUUAAGAGGAUGGGCUUCUACAGAAAGUCAUCAGAAACUUCUGUCAUAAAUCUGUUAAUCAGCAUUCCCUAGGUAGCCUAAGAAUCUGCCUACUUGAACUAUUUCUGCAACAUAUCCAGAAAAAUAUGAGAUCCUAGAUUGUAUGUGAAUUUUAUUUGUGAACGUUCAUGUUUCCCAUAGCCACAGCUAUGGAUACACCUCACUUUGUAUGAGGUUUUUAGAGACGAAGUCCAGGGUAGGAUUCUGUGAGGAAUUUCCUUACCCAGAGAAGCUGAAGAAUACAUGGCCAGGGUUCAGGGGAGCUCUUGAAACCUUUGAAGUAAGUACAUGUAAAAUGUUAUGUAAAUAGACGUUCUGGGAUGUAGCUUUUAUCAAAUCGUCAAAGGGAAUCAUGACUGGCCUGGAAGGUUACAAACCCUGUUGUAGAGUGAGGAUAGCGAUAGAACAAUGUCCUGAGAGCACCGCGUUUAAAGGACAGAUGGGGCAGGAGCCCAGAAAGAGAUUCACAGGUUCCUUGGAAAGAACCGAGGACCAGGAGCAGAUAUGUUAUAGACGCCACUUCCUUAUUAAUCAGGUUUUUGAAAAUCUCUUCUAGAGUUUUGCAUGGAUUCUACAUCCAUUUUCAUGGCACUUCUUUAUGGUUACUUGGAAAUUACCAAAUUUCCAGAUACGUUUAAAAUCUUAGGAUAUAAUUUUUCUUGGUCCAUAAAUAUGAAUUAAAGCAAUUCCUCCUUUUGCUGUGUCCUUCCUAUCUUGGGCUUCAAUUUCUUUUUCUUUUUUCCCUUAAUCCUUAUUUACCCUUCCCAGAUUAAAGAUCAAUCUUGUUUAAAAAGGCUGACUCAAGAUAGGAGUGAAACAGUUUAAGGUUAUCUGUUGACAGUUGAUCCCAAGUAAGGAAGCUGGCCUUUGUUCUUUUUGUUGACAAGGCAUUUUUAAGUCUUUAAAAUUUUCCUUAACACUUAUGAUGGAUCUCUACUUUUUUUAAACAAAUAUAUUGAGAUAUAAUUGUACAGUAAAGUGCACCUAUGGAAAGUGUACAAUUUGGUAAUCUUUAUAUGUGUCUACUUAUAAAACCAUCACCAUAGUCAAGAUACUGAACAUAUCAUCACCCCCAAAAGUUUUCUGGGCCCUCUUGGUAAUCUCUCUGUUUAUUCCCCAGACAACCACUGUUUGUUUUCUUUCACUUUGCUUUAGUUGGCAUCUUCUAGAAUGCAGUAUGCACUCUUUUUUGGUCUAGCUUCUUUCGCUCAGUGUGAUUAUCUUGAGAUUGUCCAUUUUGUAGCAUGUAUCAACUUCUUUCUAUUGCUGAGUGGUAUUUUAUUCUAUGAACAUGCUAUAGUUUGUGUAUCCAUUCACCUCUUGAAUCGUAUGGUAGAGGUGUGUGUGUGUGUGUGUGUGUGACAGAGAGAGGGAUAGAGAGAUUGAUUUAUUUUAAGAAAUUGGCUCACAACAGUUGUAGGGGCUAAAGAGUCCAAACUCUGUAGGACAGGCUAGCAGGCUAGAACCUCAGCAAGAGAGUUGAUGUUGCAGUCUUGAGUCCAAGGUCUGUAGGAUAGGCUGGCAGGUUGGAAACUCAGGCAGCAUUUCUGUCUUUCUCUUGACACAGAAUUUCUUCUUCCCCAGGAAACCAGAGAUUUUUUGCUCUGAAGGCCUUCAACUGAUGGGAUGUGGCCCACCCACAUUAUCAAGGAUAUUGGGAUGAAUCAGACAGUCCUUCCCUCACUGUGGAAACAGACAAGUAAACAAACAGUUGCCAUAUGAAUUCAAUGCCAUGGUGAAGGCAGCUUAGUGUGUUGUGGGAGCACGGGAUGGGCGUUUCUGAUUGGCCCGGAGCUACGAUCUGUUCCCAGUCUUCUGCUGUUUCCUUCAAGAAGAUUGUCACUGAGCUAACAUCUGUGCCAGUCUUCCUCUACUUUGAAUGUGGAACCCCACCGUAGCAUGGCUUGAUGAGCCAUGUGUAGGUACGUGCCCAGGAUCCAAACCUGCCUACCCUGGGCCAGCAAAGCAGAGCAUGUGAACUUAACCACUGUGCCACUGGGCCCCUAGGGCUUUUUAAUUCAUUGCUCUUUUUUCUUUUGUUUAAUGGUCAUGUGUUUAUAUCUUUGUGUUACAUACUUUCCUGAUUAUAUACUGGGAUCCUUGCUUUGCUGCACUUUGUCACUUAGAAAAAGCUCAACAUGAAAGUUGAAUUGUAGUUAAAUGAAAAUUUGAGUAUUUAUCUUGUUUUAAUUAAUACAAUGAAAUAUUGUAAGUUAUACUGAACUGUCCCCCACCCUGAUAGGAAAAUAUAUGCCUGGAUUUCUUUAAAAACUGUGCAUUUAUGGGGCUGGCCCCGUGGCCGAGUGGUUAAGUUCGCGCGCUCCGCUGCAGGCGGCCCAGUGUUUCGUUAGUUCGAAUCCUGGGCGCGGACAUGGCACUGCUCAUCAAACCACGCUGAGGCAGCGUCCCACAUGCCACAACUAGAAGGACCCACAACAAAGAAUACACAACUAUGUACCGGGGGGCUUUGGGGAGAAAAAGGAAAAAAUAAAAUCUUUAAAAAAAAAAAAAACUGUGCAUUUAUUAGAAAUGUAAAAGAAAUAUUUUUCUGAUGAACAUGUGCUUGUCAGUUUAAAAUGUUAUGGAAUCUGAGUAAAUGUUAGAAGUCCCCGUUUCUCCCCCUUGUUUACUCACUGCCAUUUCUUAUUUAAUUGAUUGUAGAGAACGUAAUAAAAAGUUGGAUUUCUUCAGUAGUAUUUGAAUACGUUCUGAAAUUCAACUCCAACUAUCUUCUGUCAAGUUUGAAGAUUUGAUCUCUCUCCUCAUAAUUAUUUGCUAAGCAUUUGGCAUAAAUUAUUUAACUUCUCUCUGUUUCAUUUUAUCUUUCUCAUUUCAUUGAUUCAGAAUAGUAGAGUUUUAUGGUGCCAAACAAAUGUCUCCUGUACACUUUAGUAAUUGAAAAUUGUUGGUUAAAGUGGGGAAUCUGUGAUAUACGAGAGUUUUACCUUUUAGAUCUAUUCAUUUCAGUUUUUUAAAAAAGUGAUUCUACUUUUUGAUAAAGGUUAAAGUGUUAUUCAGUGCCAAAUGUUAUGCAAAAUUAUAGUAAGUGACUAUUUGAUCUCUUUUCAUUGUUAAUGGCUUAAUAUUGAGAUUUUUCUUAAAACUAGAAAUAUGCUAGCAUCAAAAUCUGGAUUCAAGUGAAAGGUGGUUUUCUUUAACUUUUAGUUCUUCACAAAGCUACCAGUACAGUAUGAAACCAACAGCAGUUUCACAUGUAGGAUUUUUAUAUGUAUAUAAAUUAGAAUUACUUUUUAAUAUCGGCCUUAGCUUCCUUAAUGUUAUGAAAAGAACCAGUCCCGAGGGUGUUUUUAUAAUGUAAUACACGCUAUUCCUGUGAGGCUGAGCAGAGCUGCUGCAGGAAUCCGAACCCUGGCCGCAGAAGCUGCCCAGCUGCUCAGCUGCUGUCCUGGGACUGACCGGAUGCACUCACAGCUAGUUCACAAGCUCAGACCUUCCCUAGCUUAUUUCACAGUGAGUCUUUAAGGACCAUUGAACUAUGUGUUCAGUAUUUGUCCUACUGUCUAAAAAUAUUGAAAAACAGGGUUUGCACUGUUUGUUUUGUUUUUUAAAAGUGGUGUGAGAACUCCCCUUUGCUGCUUGUUCUUCGUGCACAUUCUAUAAGAGCUCAAAGUCCCCAGGAAAAAAAGGAUUUUUGUAAAGUUUCUUUGAUUGAAAAAGUCUGACACGUCCUUGAAGGUAUACAGUUGCCUUAAUUUUGACAUUAUAAGUUAUCUGUGAAAAUUACUGUUUUGGGUAUCGUAUUUAUAUUUAACAAUCACUUGCUUAAAAUUAUCUCCUGUAUGUAGUCAGUAGCCCCUAAAGAUUCCGUAUUAACCAGAAUGCUGCGUUACUUUCGAGUAAAGAUAUGAGUAUGAAUGAGAAACAGCUGGGGGACUGGGUAUUAGCAAAUCCUUCAUUUUCAGCCAACUUUCUAAAUCUUUGGUCAUUCACUCCGUAAUAUUUAGAGUAAAAUGUGCAAGUGCCUCUUUGUUCUCUUCACAUUCACAUGCCACAGCCUUUCUUUCUGUUACACUCGAAAUUGUUAAUGGUGUUGAUCCUUCCAAACUCUUGUGUUUUUACACACAUAUACUCUGCUAAUAUGGGUGGGAUUUUUAAUAUCAUGAGAUCAUACUAUAUCUCUCUUGUCCUUUUCUUCAUUGCGUUUUGGGGAACUUGCCGUAUCUGUACACCACAUAUUUUUUUAAUUCCAUAUAUAAAUGUACCAUAUGGUAUUUACUUCUCUAUUAGUAGAUCUUUAGGUUGCUCCAAUAUUUUACUAUUAUAGGCAGUCCUGCAAAAUACAAAUAUUUUGAUGCAUAGAUGUAACUAAUUGUACAAGACAGUGUGUAAAGGUGUAAUUGCUGUGUCAAGGAACACGUCUAUUUAAAAUACUUAUAGAUACUGCUAAGUUAAUCUCCAGAGAGUCUGCCAGUUUACAUUUUCUUUAACAGUGUGAGAGAGCACCUGUUUCCUCACAUCUUUGCCAGGGCGUUAUCCAUCUUGUUCAUUUUUGCUGAUCUAAUGGUUGCAAAGUAGUAUCUCUUUUUUAAUUGCAUUUCCUUGUCUAAAGGAGAAGUUGUCUUUUUAUAUCUUUCUUGGCUUUUUUCUUUCAUUUUUAUUUUUUUUGAUUGCAUAUUCAAAUUCUUUGCCCAUAUUUCUUUUGUUAAUUUGUUCUUAUUGCUUUCUAGGAACUCUAUAUACUUUGGACAUUUUUUCUUUCUAUGUUAUAUGUGUUGCAAAUAUUUCCUUCUCAGAUUUUUUUUAGUCUUUUUUUUUGAGGAUUAGCCCUGAGCUGACAUCUGCCACCAAUCCUCCUCUUUUUUGCUGAGGAAGACUGGCCCUGAGCUAACAUCUGUGCCCAUCUUCCUUUACUUUAUAUGUGGGACACCUGUCAUGGCAUGACCUGACAAGCAGUGCGUAGGUCCACACCUGGGAUCCAGACCAGCGAACUCCGGGCCACCAAAGUGGAACGUGCAAACUUAACCGCUGUGCCACCGGGCCAGCCCCCGUCAUGUGUUUUUUAACUAUUUAAAACUGUUAUGUAAUCUUCUGUGGCUUCUGGGUCUUGUUGUCUUUCUUAGGAAGGCCCCUUCCACAAACCUCAAUAUUAUACAUUAUGCUAAAUAUAUUAUCUUUUCAUCUUUUAAAACUAUUUCAUCAAAACUAAGAAAUGCCAUUGAUUAUAUGACACCAGGAUUUGAUAUACUGAGAAAGAAGAAAAACAAAUCUUGAGAAACGGAUAGAGUGCUUUUUUUCUCAUCAUUUCAAAUUUAUUUUAUAGCUACUUAAAGAUCUCUUUUAGACAUUUAUUCAGACCAGUUUUUUUAAAUUGUAAAACUUAUAUAAAAAGGGAAAAUCUGUUCUGUCAAUUCUUCAUCUUUGCAUUAACAAUCCUUAGUCUUUGGGUGGUGGACACCCUGAAUUUGUUCCUCUGAAUUUGUCACUCAUUUAAACACAUCUUUAUUACUCUCCAAGUAUUCAUAAAUACCGCAGUGUAUAUGAAACACCUGUUAUGGCACAGAUACUUAUCUAGGUACUUUCAUAUAUGUUCUCAUCUAACCCUAGCAGCAACUCUACAGUUGAGGAAACUGGGACUCAGAAAAGUUUCAAGUUGCUUGUAAUCACAGAGCAGUUAAAGUGAUGGAGAUCCCUCGCUUCAGAGGUAGUAUCAAUCUAGAGUGGAACAUCUCUAAUUUUUUACAAGCGUGUGAUUCCGAUUUUCAUACCUUUUCAGAACCAGUGUAUGCUGUGCUGCCAAAUAAAAGUUCACUUUUGUCCUUAUCUUACUGAUAAGUUUGCAGAUAUUUUUUACCCUCUGUCAAUUGUCAUAUUGUUAUAGUUCUAGAGUCAGUAGGAUUUAUAAUUGGAUCUUCACUUUAAAGUGGGAAAUAAAUGCAGUGAUACCAAGAAAAUUCCCUAACUGUUCUUUCCAUUUAUAUGUUAAGCCUAAACCAGAACAAGAGAUUAUAGUUGCACACUACCUAGAGCAAAGUUCUCGACGUUAGAAUCCUCGUCCGUCUUAAUAGUUGUCCACCUUCAACCUGUAGAGGAAAGUGUGUUUUCAAAACUGCGUAAACGAUAAGAAUGAUAGAGUUUUUAUUAUGACCCUAAGGAAGUCAUUCAGACUUUUUUAUUUUCUCACACGCAUUCAGACUCUUAGCUUCAAACUGAAUAUUGUACUGUUUGCUUAUGUAUUAAAAAAUGAUUGAACAUAUCUCGAGCAACUCGGACAAGACAGAGAAGACUCCACAGGGUUGACAUUAGAGAAAGCUAUUCAGAGUAGGAAACUUAAUGUGGCCGUGCCAUACGGGGAUGUUGUAACCCUAAGAGUUAGAGGAGUACUCUGGGUAGGCCAGAGCACAAGUCUUUUCUAAAGUUGUGUUGGCUGUCCUGGGGUUUGAAUUCAUGCCUUGUAUUUCUUUCUAUGUGUGACAAGUUCAGUAUGUAAGAAGCAGUGUUCAUAAGAGUUGGCAAACCUGUUUUACUUGUUUCUCAAGCUUUUCAGAUCAUUGCUUAUAAACCAGAUAUUUAUAGUAAAUAUCUUGUUUGAAAUGUAGACUAACCCUAUUAAAUAGUGUGUCCUUGUGCUGUGCUCAUUUAAUGAGUUCACCCUCUGGUGCGUUGGCAUGUGAUUUGAAGUAGCUCUCAGUGCCACUGGAGUGUUUGAAGGAGUUAAAGGGAAAAGCAGGAAGAGAAUAACAUUUUUGGGGAAAAGUGAUCAUACAACAGAUAGGCCCUUGGGAGAAUAAAGGAUGUAGUCUAUUAUGUGACCUUUGGCUAAUUCCUGAAGCAUGCUGACCUCAUAUUCCUUGUAUGUAAAUGACAACAUUAUAGCGUUAAAAGUCUCUUUACCUCCGCGAGUCCAUCCAGCGAUCUCUUCUUGUGUGUUUGUGUGUGUCAGUCGAGCACAAUAUUUAGCAAAGUGUGUUCUAGGUUAAACCACCUGGACUUGUCUGUAAAAUGGGGUUUCCCGUCUCCUAAAUUGUAAUGAGAAUUUAAUUAGGUAACACAGAUAAAUUACUUAGCACACUGCCUGGCACAUACCAAGCACUCCGGAAAUAUCCCCAUUCUUCAAAGCUCAGCUCAGAUGUCAGGUCAGUAGUGUCUGGAUCCUGGACCUUCUGGGUAAAACUGGCCUCUUCUUUGUGCCAUGAACAUGCCUUGUACUCACUUCUAAUUUAGCACUGUCACUUGUGCUAAAUUUAUCACUAACUUAUCUACACGUCUGCUUCCCCUCUUACAUUUUGAGCCGCUUGGGGACAGAGACAGGUUUAUUCAUCUUCUUAAAUUCAGUGUUAGGCGUGUUAAAUUUUUGUUGAAUAAACUUGUAUUCUUGUUUUUAAAUAGGAUCCCCUCCCCCGCUCAAUGGAAGAUAAUCCUAGAGCAAACGUGACAAGUAGGAAUGUUCUCAAACCACUUUUUUUUUUUUGACAGCUGUGCAAUUGCCAUUGUACUCCUAAGGAUUAGAUCAUUUUUUACUUUACUUCUUCACAGUGUUUUUCUUUUAAUAAGAAAAUUAAGAAAGUGACUGCCAGUUGGAGAAAAUGGUCCUAUAAAUAUAAAUGAAAGUGCACUGAUGAGAAAUUUUAUAAAGCCAUCAUAAUGGCGCUAUAAAAAUGUUGAUCUUGGAACCAAAGCCCUGGGUUCGUGUCAUAGCACUGCUACUUUCUGGCCAUAUGACAAUGAUCGAACUGUUUUGUCCCUCCGACUCUACAAAGUGGGCAUGACAUCCAUUUCAUGUUACAUGUUGUAACAGUAAGGAAAAAUAGGCUGUUUGGGGAAGGGUUGGAGAGUGCUGUGAGGGUGCUCUGGAUAGACCAGAGCACAAGUCUUCCCUAAAGUUGUGACAGUGAUUGAUGUGAGAGAUUCCUAAAGUACUAGCACGGUGCCUGCUUAACGGAAGACACACAACUCAUCUUUAAUGGAGUUAGUAUCAGGUGAUAAUAUACCCUUUAAAAUUGAGAAAAGCCAACUUAUUUUACCAUACACACACUUGUUUACUGUUAGAAAUAUUGUUGUUUAAAUUAGUUGUACCCUUGCUUAGGUGUUGAAAACAGAACUAAAAUGUUAAAUGAUGACCACCUGAUUUUACUUCCAUCAUGCUAAUGUUGUAGGGAAGAGUAAACAGAGAUCAAAUGGCAAAAGCAUACUCAAGAAUUAAGUUGCGUAAUUAAAGGUUUACUAUUUUCUUAACACAAGAAGGCAGGUCUCUACUUCAUCCUACUUUCCUGUAGUCAAUCACUGAUAGGGGCUGGCCCUGUGGCCGAGUGGUUAAGUUCACACGCCCUGCUUUGGUGGCCUGGGGUUUGCCAGUUCAGAUCCUGGGCAUGGACCUAGCACCCCUCAUCAAGCCAUGCUGUGGUGGCAUCCCACACAGAAGAACUACAAGGACUUACAACUAGAAUACACAAGUAUGUACUGGGGCUUUGGGGAGAAGAAAAAUCACUGAUAACUGGAGAUACGGACUGAAAACAUUGGAGCCAUCUAGGUCUUCAUUGAUUGCAUUCUUUUAUGAAAGGUGGAAGUGUAGAGAGAAUUAGUCUCAAUAUAGUCAUACGCCAUCUAACAACGUUUCAGUCAAUGACAAACUGUGUAUAGGAUGGUGGUCCCAUAAGAUUAGUACCAUAAUAGCCUAGGUGCAUAGUAGGUUAUACCAUCUAGGUUUGUGUAAGUGCACUCUAUGACAUUUACCCAACAACAAAAUCGCCUAAUGACAUAUUUCUCAGAACGUAUCCCUGUCAUUAAGCAACAUAUGACUGUACUGCUAAUACAAAUAAAAUUGGUUAAUUAUAGAUGCCUUUCCAUCUAGUGGUUAUGGUAUAUAAACCUUCAUUACCUAUGGUUUUGUCCAAAUCAUCUCCUGGUUACCAUGUUUUAAAGCAACCUCUCAUAAUCCGCCAUUUGUAAUUUCUUCUCUCCCUGUUCUUACUGGCUUUCUACUUUUAUACCUUUUUACAAUAUAAACAUUUUCUUCCAACUCUCAGUUUGUGUUUUCUUCAUUUGAUCUGUUUUUCAGAGUGUAUCAGUUAGUGAUUGAACCUGACUGCAGUAUAACAGAAAACUCCAAAACAGUAGCUUAAACAAGAUGGUGGGGUUUUCCCAACCCCCUCUCACUUAGAGUUUGUUUCCAGGAAUCUUGGUGGCGUGGUAGACUGAACUAACGUAAAUCCUCCUACCACCACUAUCCCAUCACUCCAAAUUCAUAGAGAUGUCAGAUAAGACAUAAUAGAUACACACAGCUGACUGCAAAAGAAAAUCCCAGCUACCAGAAAUGAAGAGAAAACAAAGCCAGAGCAGUAAACUCCAGAGCUGAAAGCUGCUCUGUCCAGGGGUUGGUAAUCUUGGCUGUGAGUCUCACCUGUGAACACUGGGACUGUACCAGUAAGGGAUCUGACCUGACAAAAUGCAGGGAAGCUGGGACUGAGACCUCUGCACGAAGCCAAGACCCUAGAAGGUGCUGCGCCUCAGGAAGGGGGAAGCAGAGCUCUACACAGCAGCCUGGGGAACUACAAAGCACCUUCUGACCCUAAGACAGCAUGGAGGGAGAGGAAGAGUUCCAUGAGAAAGAGGAAGUGUAUGCUCCAGUCUUGCUCUCACCAUGACCAUGCUUCGCUUAAAAAUUAUUGUGAGUACCUCUUUAAUGUGCCAAGCACAGUAAGGUCCUGAUGGUAAAGCAAUGAAUGAAACACAGAAGUUUCUGACCUCUCGGGCCUCUAUUCGAAUGCCAUUGGGAAAAAAUUUACUAAUGUGUAUAUCAGACACGGAGACAAUUUUCAAAAUGACGGAAUAAAAUAAAUCAGGUUGUCUUGUUGGGUUGUACGAGUUUUUUGUAUGUUUUGGUUAUUAACUGCUUAUUGGAUAUAUGACUUGCAAAUAUCUUCUUCUAAUAAGCAGGUUGUCUUUUUAUUGAUAGUUUCUUUUGCUGUGCAGAAGCUUUUUAGUUUGAUAUAGUCCUAUUUAUUUUUUCUUUUGUUUCUCUUGCCUGAGGAGACCUAUCCAAAAAGACGUUCCUAAGACCAAUGUCAAAGAGCAUGCUGCCCAUGUUUUCUUCUAGGAGUUCUAUGGUUUAUGUCUUACAUUCCAAUCUUUAAUCCAUUUUGAGUUAAUUUUUGUGUAUGGUGUAGCACAGCGGUCCAUUUUCAUUCUUUUGCAUGUGGUUGUCCAGUUUCCCCAACACCAUUGAUUGAAGAGACUGUCCUUUUUCCAUUGUAUAUUCAUGGCUCUUUGGCAUAAAUUAAUUGACCAUAUUGUGUGAAUUUAUGGGCUCUCUGUCUCGAAAAAAUUCUUUUUCAAUAGGAAAGACAACUUCAUAUCAGGAAAGAAAUAAGCUAUGAAUAAACAUAUAGUUAAGACUUUCUUAAAUGACAA